AGUGAACGCUGGCGGUAGGCCUAACACGUGCAAGUCGAACGGCAGCACAGUAAGAGCUUGCUCUUACGGGUGGCGAGUGGCGGACGGGUGAGGAAUACAUCGGAAUCUACUUUUUCGUGGGGGAUAACGUAGGGAAACUUACGCUAAUACCGCAUACGACCUACGGGUGAAAGCAGGGGAUCUUCGGACCUUGCGCGAUUGAAUGAGCCGAUGUCGGAUUAGCUAGUUGGCGGGGUAAAGGCCCACCAAGGCGACGAUCCGUAGCUGGUCUGAGAGGAUGAUCAGCCACACUGGAACUGAGACACGGUCCAGACUCCUACGGGAGGCAGCAGUGGGGAAUAUUGGACAAUGGGCGCAAGCCUGAUCCAGCCAUACCACGUGGGUGAAGAAGGCCUUCGGGUUGUAAAGCCCUUUUGUUGGGAAAGAAAAGCAGCAGGUUAAUACCACGCUGUUCUGACGGUACCCAAAGAAUAAGCACCGGCUAACUUCGUG
Molecule: ribosomal RNA, 492 nt
Filed under: uncultured bacterium
Lineage: Bacteria
Description: partial 16S ribosomal RNA
Rfam family: Bacterial small subunit ribosomal RNA
Source: RNAcentral